This 330-nucleotide ribosomal RNA is filed under the name uncultured eukaryote. RNAcentral's name for it is "partial 18S ribosomal RNA". It matches the Rfam family "Eukaryotic small subunit ribosomal RNA", at positions 1470 to 1796 of the family's 1831-position model. The record is from RNAcentral.
CCCUUAGAUGUCCGGGGCCGCACGCGCGCUACACUGAAGGAAUCAGCGUGGCUUUCUCCCUGACCCGAAAGGGUUGGGAAACCCGUUGAAUCUCCUUCGUGAUAGGGAUUGGGGCUUGAAAUUGUUCCCCAUGAACGAGGAAUUCCCAGUAAGCGCGAGUCAUAAGCUCGCGUUGAUUACGUCCCUGCCCUUUGUACACACCGCCCGUCGCUACUACCGAUUGAACGGUUUAGUGAGGGCCUCGGAUUGGCAGCAGUUGGUGGUUCGCCACCGGCUAUUGCUGAGAAGUCCUCCAAACCGCCCCAUUUAGAGGAAGGAGAAGUCGUAACA